AACAUCGCGCACCUGCGGGAACCUGCGGAAGGAUCAUACUGAGUCACGUGCUCAAACAACCCUUCUGUGGACCUGAAAUAAAACCGUUGCCUCGGCGGGCGGUCCCCCCCAAACCAACCCCACGUGGUGGGUUAGGGGAGACCAGACAGUCCGGUACGCUUAAGGCGUCCGGCGCCAGCCGCUGGCCCCAAACAAUUAAACUCUAGUAAUCUUUACCUUCUGAGUUUCAAUAUUUAAAAA
This 240-nucleotide unclassified non-coding RNA is filed under the name soil metagenome. Its description in RNAcentral is "partial contains 5.8S ribosomal RNA, internal transcribed spacer 2, and large subunit ribosomal RNA". The record is from RNAcentral.